Phyllosticta citriasiana is the source of this 140-nucleotide non-coding RNA. Lineage: Eukaryota; Fungi; Ascomycota; Dothideomycetes; Botryosphaeriales; Phyllostictaceae. The record is from the annotation of a GenBank genome assembly.
UCCAUCGUGGUGUAGUGGUCUAGCAUUCCAGACUCUCACACAGCCAAAGCGCCCCGUCUAGCCGCAUGUGGGCAUCGACUAGCAGAGCGUGGCAAGCUCACUGAUUUCUGGAGACCCGAGUUCGAUUCUUGGCGAUGGAA